RNAcentral lists this ribosomal RNA (253 nucleotides) under uncultured bacterium. RNAcentral describes it as "partial 16S ribosomal RNA". It matches the Rfam family "Bacterial small subunit ribosomal RNA", at positions 524 to 776 of the family's 1533-position model. The record is from RNAcentral.
UACGUAGGGGGCUAGCGUUGUCCGGAAUCAUUGGGCGUAAAGCGCGUGUAGGCGGUCCGGUAAGUCCGCUGUGAAAGUCGGGGGCUCAACCCUCGAAUGCCGGUGGAUACUGUCGGGCUAGAGUACGGAAGAGGCGAGUGGAACUCCUGGUGUAGCGGUGGAAUGCGCAGAUAUCAGGAAGAACACCAACGGCGAAGGCAGCUCGCUGGGACGGAACUGACGCUAAGGCGCGAAAGCGUGGGGAGCGAACAGG